Molecule: ribosomal RNA, 253 nt
Filed under: uncultured bacterium
Lineage: Bacteria
Description: partial 16S ribosomal RNA
Rfam family: Bacterial small subunit ribosomal RNA
Source: RNAcentral
UACGUAGGGUGCGAGCGUUGUCCGGAAUUAUUGGGCGUAAAAAGCUCGUAGGCGGUUUGUCGCGUCUGCUGUGAAAACUGGAGGCUCAACCUCCAGCCUGCAGUGGGUACGGGCAGACUAGAGUGCGGUAGGGGAGAUUGGAAUUCCUGGUGUAGCGGUGGAAUGCGCAGAUAUCAGGAGGAACACCGAUGGCGAAGGCAGAUCUCUGGGCCGUAACUGACGCUGAGGAGCGAAAGCAUGGGGAGCGAACAGG